RNAcentral lists this ribosomal RNA (375 nucleotides) under uncultured eukaryote. Its description in RNAcentral is "partial 18S ribosomal RNA". It matches the Rfam family "Eukaryotic small subunit ribosomal RNA", at positions 592 to 976 of the family's 1831-position model. The record is from RNAcentral.
CAAUAGCGUAUAUUUAAGUUGUUGCAGUUAAAAAGCUCGUAGUUGGAUUUCGGUUAAGAGCGACCGGUCCGCCGUUUGGUGUGCACUGGUUGGUUUUAACUUCCUGUAGAGGACGUGCUCUGGGUUUAACGACCUGGACUCGGAGUCUACGUGGUUACUUUGAAAAAAUUAGAGUGUUCAAAGCGGGCUUACGCUUGAAUAUUUCAGCAUGGAAUAACACUAUAGGACUCCUGUCCUAUUUCGUUGGUCUCGGGACGGGAGUAAUGAUUAAGAGGAACAGUUGGGGGCAUUCGUAUUUCAUUGUCAGAGGUGAAAUUCUUGGAUUUAUGAAAGACGAACUUCUGCGAGAGCAUUUGCCAAGGAUGUUUUCAUUAA